GUGCUUACACAUGCAAGUCGAACGGAAAGGCCCUGCUUGCAGGGUACUCGAGUGGCGAACGGGUGAGUAACACGUGGGUGAUCUGCCCUGCACUUCGGGAUAAGCCUGGGAAACUGGGUCUAAUACCGGAUAGGAGCCAUUUUUAGUGUGAUGGUUGGAAAGUUUUUUCGGUGUAGGAUGAGCUCGCGGCCUAUCAGCUUGUUGGUGGGGUAAUGGCCUACCAAGGCGGCGACGGGUAGCCGGCCUGAGAGGGUGGACGGCCACAUUGGGACUGAGAUACGGCCCAGACUCCUACGGGAGGCAGCAGUGGGGAAUAUUGCACAAUGGGCGCAAGCCUGAUGCAGCGACGCCGCGUGGGGGAUGACGGCCUUCGGGUUGUAAACUCCUUUCGCUAGGGACGAAGCUUUUUGUGACGGUACCUAGAUAAGAAGCACCGGCUAACUACGUGCCAGCAGCCGCGGUAAUACGUAGGGUGCGAGCGUUGUCCGGAAUUACUGGGCGUAAAGGGCUCGUAGGUGGUUUGUCGCGUCGUCUGUGAAAUUCCGGGGCUUAACUCCGGGCGUGCAGGCGAUACGGGCAUAACUUGAGUACUGUAGGGGUAACUGGAAUUCCUGGUGUAGCGGUGAAAUGCGCAGAUAUCAGGAGGAACA
RNAcentral lists this ribosomal RNA (650 nucleotides) under uncultured Corynebacterium sp. RNAcentral describes it as "bacterial SSU rRNA". It matches the Rfam family "Bacterial small subunit ribosomal RNA", at positions 44 to 708 of the family's 1533-position model. The record is from RNAcentral. Lineage: Bacteria; Bacillati; Actinomycetota; Actinomycetes; Mycobacteriales; Corynebacteriaceae.